CCUACGGGAGGCAGCAGUGAGGAAUAUUGGUCAAUGGGCUAAGGCCUGAACCAGCCAAGUCGCGUGAGGGAAGACGGUCCUAUGGAUUGUAAACCUCUUUUGUCGGGGAGCAACGAGGCCACGUGUGGCCGAAGUGAGAGUACCCGAAGAAAAAGCAUCGGCUAACUCCGUGCAAGCAGCCGCGGUAAUACGGAGGAUGCGAGCGUUAUCCGGAUUUAUUGGGUUUAAAGGGUGCGUAGGCGGAACAUUAAGUCCGAGGUAAAAUUGGGAGGCUCAACCUCUUCGAGCCGUUGAAACUGGUUUUCUGGAGUGAGCGAGAAGUAUGCGGAAUGCGUGGUGUAGCGGUGAAAUGCAUAGAUAUCACGCAGAACUCCGAGUGCGAAGGCAGCAUACCGGCGCUCAACUGACGCUCAUGCACGAAAGUGUGGGUAGCGAACAGGAUUAGAUACCCUUGUAGUC
Molecule: ribosomal RNA, 459 nt
Filed under: uncultured bacterium
Lineage: Bacteria
Description: partial 16S ribosomal RNA
Rfam family: Bacterial small subunit ribosomal RNA
Source: RNAcentral